GAUGAACGCUGGCGGCGUGCCUAAUACAUGCAAGUCGAGCGAACAGACGAGGAGCUUGCUCCUCUGACGUUAGCGGCGGACGGGUGAGUAACACGUGGAUAACCUACCUAUAAGACUGGGAUAACUUCGGGAAACCGGAGCUAAUACCGGAUAAUAUAUUGAACCGCAUGGUUCAAUAGUGAAAGACGGUUUUGCUGUCACUUAUAGAUGGAUCCGCGCCGCAUUAGCUAGUUGGUAAGGUAACGGCUUACCAAGGCAACGUUGCGUAGCCGACCUGAGAGGGUCAUCGGCCACACUGGAACUGAGACACGGUCCAGACUCCUACGGGAGGCAGCAGUAGGGAAUCUUCCGCAAUGGGCGAAAGCCUGACGGAGCAACGCCGCGUGAGUGAUGAAGGUCUUCGGAUCGUAAAACUCUGUUAUUAGGGAAGAACAAAUGUGUAAGUAACUAUGCACGUCUUGACGGUACCUAAUCAGAAAGCCACGGCUAACUACGUG
RNAcentral lists this ribosomal RNA (497 nucleotides) under uncultured bacterium. Its description in RNAcentral is "partial 16S ribosomal RNA". It matches the Rfam family "Bacterial small subunit ribosomal RNA", at positions 28 to 507 of the family's 1533-position model. The record is from RNAcentral.